RNAcentral lists this ribosomal RNA (253 nucleotides) under uncultured bacterium. RNAcentral's name for it is "partial 16S ribosomal RNA". It matches the Rfam family "Bacterial small subunit ribosomal RNA", at positions 524 to 776 of the family's 1533-position model. The record is from RNAcentral.
GACAGAGGGUGCAAACGUUGUUCGGAAUUACUGGGCGUAAAGCGCGUGUAGGCGGUCUGAUAAGUCGGGUGUGAAAGCCCUGGGCUCAACCCAGGAAGUGCACUCGAAACUGUCAGGCUAGAGUAUCGGAGAGGUUGGUGGAAUUCUCGGUGUAGAGGUGAAAUUCGUAGAUAUCGAGAGGAACACCGGUGGCGAAGGCGGCCAACUGGACGAAUACUGACGCUGAGACUCGAAAGCGUGGGGAGCAAACAGG